RNAcentral lists this ribosomal RNA (859 nucleotides) under uncultured bacterium. RNAcentral describes it as "bacterial SSU rRNA". It matches the Rfam family "Bacterial small subunit ribosomal RNA", at positions 72 to 907 of the family's 1533-position model. The record is from RNAcentral.
UGUUUAUUUCGGUAAACACCAAGUGGCGAACGGGUGAGUAACGCGUAAGCAAUCUACCUUCUAUCAUGGGGACAACACUUCGAAAGGGGUGCUAAUACCGAAUGAAUGUAAGAGUAUCGCAUGAGACACUUACUAAAGGAGGCCUCUGAAAAUGCUUCCGCUUGAAGAUGAGCUUGCGUCUGAUUAGCUAGUUGGUGAGGGUAAAGGCCCACCAAGGCGACGAUCAGUAGCCGGUCUGAGAGGAUGAACGGCCACAUUGGGACUGAGACACGGCCCAGACUCCUACGGGAGGCAGCAGUGGGGAAUCUUUCGCAAUGGGCGAAAGCCUGACGGAGCAACGCCGCGUGAACGAUGAAGGUCUUAGGAUCGUAAAGUUCUGUUGUUAGGGACGAAGGGUAAGAAUCAUAAUAAGGUUUUUAUUUGACGGUACCUAACGAGGAAGCCACGGCUAACUACGUGCCAGCAGCCGCGGUAAUACGUAGGCGGCAAGCGUUGUCCGGAAUUAUUGGGCGUAAAGGGAGCGCAGGCGGGAAACUAAGCGGAUCUUAAAAGUGCGGGGCUCAACCCCGUGAUGGGGUCCGAACUGGUUUUCUUGAGUGCAGGAGAGGAAAGCGGAAUUCCCAGUGUAGCGGUGAAAUGCGUAGAUAUUGGGAAGAACACCAGUGGCGAAGGCGGCUUUCUGGACUGUAACUGACGCUGAGGCUCGAAAGCUAGGGUAGCGAACGGGAUUAGAUACCCCGGUAGUCCUAGCCGUAAACGAUGGAUACUAGGUGUGGGAGGUAUCGACUCCUUCCGUGCCGGAGUUAACGCAAUAAGUAUCCCGCCUGGGGAGUUCGGCCGCAAGGUUGAAACUCAAAUG